RNAcentral lists this ribosomal RNA (789 nucleotides) under uncultured bacterium. RNAcentral describes it as "bacterial SSU rRNA". It matches the Rfam family "Bacterial small subunit ribosomal RNA", at positions 8 to 796 of the family's 1533-position model. The record is from RNAcentral.
AGAGUUUGAUCCUGGCUCAGAUUGAACGCUGGCGGCAUGCCUAACACAUGCAAGUCGCACGCGAAAGGGGGCAACCCCGAGUAGAGUGGCGGACGGGUGCGUAAUACGCAGGAAUCUACCCACGAGUGGGGGACAACCCGGGGAAACCCGGGCUAAUACCGCAUGAGACCUACGGGUGAAAGCGGGGGAUCGCAAGACCUCGCGCUGGUGGAUGAGCCUGCGUCCGAUUAGCUAGUUGGUAGGGUAAAAGCCUACCAAGGCAACGAUCGGUAGCUGGUCUGAGAGGACGACCAGCCACACUGGGACUGAGACACGGCCCAGACUCCUACGGGAGGCAGCAGUGGGGAAUAUUGGACAAUGGGGGCAACCCUGAUCCAGCAAUGCCGCGUGUGUGAAGAAGGCCUUCGGGUUGUAAAGCACUUUCGAUGGGGACAAACGUGUCGGGCUUAAUACGUCCGGCCUUGAUGGUACCUAGAGAAGAAGCACCGGCUAACUCUGUGCCAGCAGCCGCGGUAAUACAGAGGGUGCAAGCGUUAAUCGGAAUUACUGGGCGUAAAGCGUGCGUAGGUGGUUGGAUAAGUCAGGUGUGAAAUCCCCGAGCUUAACUUGGGAAUUGCGCUUGAUACUGUCCGGCUAGAGUGUGGUAGAGGGUAGUGGAAUUCCGCAUGUAGCGGUGAAAUGCGUAGAUAUGCGGAGGAACAUCAGUGGCGAAGGCGGCUACCUGGACCAACACUGACACUGAGGCACGAAAGCGUGGGUAGCAAACAGGAUUAGAUACCCUGGUAGUCC